RNAcentral lists this transfer RNA (64 nucleotides) under Tyraphus nitidus. RNAcentral describes it as "tRNA-Ala". Lineage: Eukaryota; Metazoa; Arthropoda; Insecta; Coleoptera; Staphylinidae. The record is from RNAcentral.
AGGAUUAUAGUUUAAAAAAAACAAUUAAUUUGCAUUUAAAAGUUAUUGCCCAGCAAUUUAUCUU